GUGGGGAAUAUUGGACAAUGGGCGAAAGCCUGAUCCAGCCAUGCCGCGUGAGUGAUGAAGGCCUUAGGGUUGUAAAGCUCUUUCAGUAGGGAAGAUAAUGACGGUACCUACAGAAGAAGCCCCGGCUAACUUCGUGCCAGCAGCCGCGGUAAUACGAAGGGGGCUAGCGUUGUUCGGAUUUACUGGGCGUAAAGCGCACGUAGGCGGAUUGGUCAGUUAGGGGUGAAAUCCCAGAGCUCAACUCUGGAACUGCCCUUAAUACUGCCAAUCUAGAGUCCGGAAGAGGUGAGUGGAACUCCUAGUGUAGAGGUGGAAUUCGUAGAUAUUAGGAAGAACACCAGUGGCGAAGGCGGCUCAUUGGUCCGGUACUGACGCUGAGGUGCGAAAGCGUGGGGAGCAAACAGGAUUAGAAACCCUAGUAGUCC
This 425-nucleotide ribosomal RNA is filed under the name uncultured bacterium. Its description in RNAcentral is "partial 16S ribosomal RNA". It matches the Rfam family "Bacterial small subunit ribosomal RNA", at positions 354 to 796 of the family's 1533-position model. The record is from RNAcentral.